GUUAUGAGAUCUGGUGCCCUCUUCUGGUGUGCAGAUAUACACGGAAGCAGAAUAUUGUAUACAUAAUAAAUAAAUAAAAUCUUUAAAAAAGGUUAUUGAUUGAUUCAUGUAUUGUAGUUCUGUGGAUGGAACCCAAGACAGGACCUUACAUACUCUAUAGUUAUGUGACUCCACUAAAAUAGAUGCCAUCCCAGCACCCAUUCUGUUAGUUCAUUUGCCUGAGACAGGGUCUCAUGUAGCCAGAGUGGCCUCAAACUCAUUGCGUAACUGAGGCCCUUCAACUCCUGAUUCCCUUGCUUCUGUUUCCCCAAUGCUGAGGUUACAUGUGUCACUACACCUAGCUGCCAACUUAUUUAAUUUUUUUUUUAAAAAGGGAGAAGGAAUUUUUGAGGAGGAGAAACAUACAAACAGCCUAAAGCCCUUUAUAUAUAUAUCAGAAAAACAAGAGCAGUGCCUCUAGAGCUGGUAUGGGGAUGCCUGCUGUUUGUGGCAGCUGUGAGCCAGCUGCUGAGGGGCUGGCCUUUGUUUCUCUGAUGUAAGGACACAUCAUCUGUCCCAACUGUUUAUUGCUCACAAAACACACUGUCUCCCUGGGAUCUGUCCCAGCUGGGAUCCAAAGCUGAGCGGAACGGAUUUUACACCUUUUGUUGCAUUUCCUUAAAUGUAAACUAGUAAAACCAAGGACAGAACCAUGAUGAGAUGGACAGUGCUCCGCUAUUUUUACCAUCCACUUUCAUGACUUAUGCGGUUUCCAGGGUUGUGAAGGUCCCUUCCUGUACAGGCACUCCUCUAUCCAGAAGCCCUCUCCUACUCCCCCAGAAGCUGGCCCAUGGUGAAUUCUUGACUUUUAUUGAUCAGAUGCAUGGUUGGAGCAGCUGAAGCAUACCACGCAACAGCACACAUUUCAGUGAGUGGACAGAGCAAUGGCAAACUCCAAGAUAAAUCAGAAAGUCAGCAAUGGCUUGUGGAGUGCAAUUACAAAGGAAAAGAGACUGCCGAUUACCACUGAAAUGGAGUGAAGUUUCUGGAAAGGAUUGCUGGGCUCCUGGUCUGUGUCAGCAUGGUCGGUAAAACAUCGCACAGAGCUCAACACACCCACUGUCGGAACCAGUUGGCAUUUAAUAAGAAGACCCCCUGAGAGAAGCUUGCUGAUGUGGGCAUUUCUGCAACAUAUCUGUGCAGGGGUGGGGCCCUUUUGCAAAAAUUCUUUAGGAGGGAGGGAAGCAUCAAAUGAGUCAGAUCUGUAUUCAUGGGGCUACCCCCUGGGACACAACUUGACUCAUCCACAAAUACUGACAUUCCUUUGGAAGAAGUGGACUGCAAAUACUUUCCUGGAGGGAAAGCCGUAACUGCAUUGACCUAACAAUUGCUUUAGCAAGCAUGUAGCCACAAAUAUUAAUCAUCCAUAGAUGCUCCUCUUUAAUAUGUAAUCUGUAAAUGUCCACUGAUAAGGAACUGGUUGAAUAUGUUAUAGUGCAUGCAUACAUGGGAAAAUAAGGCAAUUCUGUGUGGAAAAAAAAACUUAGGAAAUAUUAACAACUCAAAAAAAUGACUAUGUAUGUAUAUAUAACAUGAUCCUAUGUGCACAAAAUGCCUUUCUUUUUUUUUGUUGUUGUUGUUGUUUUUCUUUUGAAACAGGGCAGCACUAGCUGGCCUGGAACUCUCCUAUGUAGACUAGAAUGGCUUCAAAUUUAUAGAGAUCUCUCUGCCUCUACCUCCCAAGUGCUGGGAUUAAAAGUGUAUGUCACAUA
Cricetulus griseus (Chinese hamster) is the source of this 1751-nucleotide non-coding RNA. The record is from RefSeq and is a predicted model, not a curated record. Lineage: Eukaryota; Metazoa; Chordata; Mammalia; Rodentia; Cricetidae.